AAGAAGGCCAAGCAGCCCUGAGCCCCCACUGCUGCUAGGCCCACUCAUACGGUUCCUGGCACCCGGCACAUGUGCCACCCCACCCGACUUGACUUGAUUCCCACCCCACUUCGCUUGACAUUUUGGGGAGUGUGUUCCUGAAUCCUAUGGCUCCAUAAUAGGUCUGAGGCUACCUGGUCAGGCCGCCACCCAUCUCAGACCUGACCCCUCCCCAGCUCCGUCACUGCCCCUCCCAGGGUCCAGUUUGGAAACCAUCCUCCCUUAAGUGCCACUGACGGGUAUCUAACUCCUUUUUUUCUUUUCUUCCUUCUGGUCUAAACAGAAGCUGUGGUUUCCUCUGUAUUCCUGGUAAUUAGAGAGGCCAGAAAAGCCACUGAGAUGGUAGGAAGGGCUAGAGGGAGAGGUGGAAGGUUAGAGGCUGGGGGAGCAGCCCGGAACCUCUAAGAGCUUCAAGUGCCCUCCAGCGCUGUGAGACAAGCUCCCCAGACCCUUCCACCACCACCUCCUGCCUCUGCCUCCUCCUCACACCAAACUCCAGAGGUGGCAGAGGCCUUGAGGAAUUCUAGAAUGUUAGAACUGGACAGCUCUUUAGAAAGAAAAACUCCUACUGCCUCAUAAUGGAACUAUGUAAGUUGUGAUGGUGAUACAGAAUUAAAACCAUCUUAUUUAUAAA
This 673-nucleotide long non-coding RNA is filed under the name Bos taurus (domestic cattle). RNAcentral describes it as "long non-coding RNA NONBTAT023505". The record is from RNAcentral. Lineage: Eukaryota; Metazoa; Chordata; Mammalia; Artiodactyla; Bovidae.